This 253-nucleotide ribosomal RNA is filed under the name uncultured bacterium. Its description in RNAcentral is "partial 16S ribosomal RNA". It matches the Rfam family "Bacterial small subunit ribosomal RNA", at positions 524 to 776 of the family's 1533-position model. The record is from RNAcentral.
UACGGAGGGUCCAAGCGUUAUCCGGAAUCAUUGGGGUUAAAGGGUCCGUAGGCGGUUUUGUAAGUCAGUGGUGAAAGCCCAUCGCUCAACGGUGGAACGGCCAUUGGUACUGCAAGACUUGAAUUAUUAGGAAGUAACUAGAAUAUGUAGUGUAGCGGUGAAAUGCUUAGGGAUUACAUGGAAUACCAAUUGCGAAGGCAGGUUACUACUAAUGGAUUGACGCUGAUGGACGAAAGCGUGGGGAGCGAACAGG